AACGAACGCUGGCGGCAGGCCUAACACAUGCAAGUCGAACGCCGUAGCAAUACGGAGUGGCAGACGGGUGAGUAACGCGUGGGAACAUACCCCUCGGUUCGGAAUAACUCAGGGAAACUUGAGCUAAUACCGGAUACGUCCGAGGUUUUAAUCGGCCUUGGAGAAAGAUUUAUCGCCGGAGGAUUGGCCCGCGUCUGAUUAGCUUGUUGGUGAGGUAAUGGCUCACCAAGGCGACGAUCAGAGCUGGUCUGAGAGGAUGAUCAGCCACAUUGGGACUGAGACACGGCCCAAACUCCUACGGGAGGCAGCAGUGGGGAAUAUUGGACAAUGGGCGAAAGCCUGAUCCAGCCAUGCCGCGUGAGUGAUGAAGGCCUUAGGGUUGUAAAGCUCUUUUACCCGGGAAGAUAAUGACGGUACCGGGAGAAUAAGCCCCGGCUAACUUCGUGCCAGCAGCCGCAGUAAG
This 463-nucleotide ribosomal RNA is filed under the name uncultured bacterium. RNAcentral's name for it is "bacterial SSU rRNA". It matches the Rfam family "Bacterial small subunit ribosomal RNA", at positions 29 to 524 of the family's 1533-position model. The record is from RNAcentral.